Molecule: non-coding RNA, 114 nt
Filed under: Ignavibacteria bacterium
Lineage: Bacteria; Pseudomonadati; Ignavibacteriota; Ignavibacteria
Description: SAM-I sequence
Rfam family: SAM riboswitch aptamer (S box leader)
About the family: The SAM riboswitch is found upstream of a number of genes which code for proteins involved in methionine or cysteine biosynthesis in Gram-positive bacteria. The SAM riboswitch acts at the level of transcription termination control.
Source: RNAcentral
GUCUUAUCGAGAAAGGUAGAGGGAACAGGCCCGACGACACCUUAGCAACCGUCCCGCUUUAGCGGGAAAGGUGCUACAUCCUGCUCUCCGGUUAGCCGGGGGGAAAGAUAAGAG